ACGCUGGCGGCGUGCCUAAUACAUGCAAGUCGAACGGUCUUUUCUAUGGAAGCUUGCUUCCAACUGAGAAGAUAGUGGGCGAACGGGUGAGUAACGACGUGGGUAACCUGCCCAUAAGAGGGGGAUAACAUCCGGAACGGGUGCUAAUACCGCAUAGUUUUCUUGAUCGCAUGAUUGAGAAAGGAAGACGGCCUUUGUGCUGUCGCUUAUGGAUGGACCCGCGGCGUAUUAGUUAGUUGGUGAGGUAACGGCUCACCAAGACGAUGAUACGUAGCCGACCUGAGAGGGUGAUCGGCCACAUUGGGACUGAGACACGGCCCAAACUCCCACGGGAGGCAGCAGUAGGGAAUCUUCCGCAAUGGACGAAAGUCUGGACGGAGCAACGCCGCGUGAGUGAAGAAGGUUUUUCCGGAUCGUAAAACUCUGUUGUCAGAGAAGAACAAGUUGGAGAGUAACUGCUCCAGCCUUGACGGUAUCUGACCAGAAAGCCACGGCUAACUACGUGCCAGCAGCUGC
RNAcentral lists this ribosomal RNA (516 nucleotides) under uncultured bacterium. RNAcentral describes it as "bacterial SSU rRNA". It matches the Rfam family "Bacterial small subunit ribosomal RNA", at positions 33 to 518 of the family's 1533-position model. The record is from RNAcentral.